Long non-coding RNA from Motacilla alba alba, 588 nucleotides. RefSeq lists it as uncharacterized. Lineage: Eukaryota; Metazoa; Chordata; Aves; Passeriformes; Motacillidae. The record is from RefSeq and is a predicted model, not a curated record. The transcript has 3 exons.
GAGCAUCUCGUGAAGCAAAAAAUAACACUCGGCAGUCUGAGCUGCUUAAUUAUUCCAUCAGGACAGGCUGCAAAGUGAUAAGAGAACAUGUGCUCUGCAUGCUUGGCUGCGUGUCUAAAUCCUUUGCGGAGUCGUGACAGGAGAGACAGGACUCAAAAUGAAAGAAUGUGUGAUAAAACAAAAGAAAUAAACCAGACAAGACACCCAGGACACGUGAUCCACUCGGAGCCACAUGAAACUGAUUGCGGGUGAAGCAUUACAAAUGAAAAGCAGAGGUCUACAGCUGAUGUGGGGCAGGGUGGUGAUCUGCAGUCCCUGUAAAGCUGAGGAAAUUCCCCGUGGAAGCCACUGGAGCUCCAGUCACAUUCCAGCCAGUGAAUUUCUGCCACUUCCUGUGCAAUAUGGACUCUGUUUCUCCAUGAGGACAAAAGCCUUUGUUCUGCUGAGUCACACUCCAGAAGAGCAGGCGGCUGCACAAGAGUUGACACGCUCUUCCUACUUCCACUUUUCACUUUGUACUUCUCCCCUCUACUCGCUUCUGCCUCUUUUUGGUGUUGCACUGGGGGUUUUUUUUGGGUUUCUUUUGGC